UUAGAUCAGAAGCGAGAAUGUUGACAUGAGUAGCGACAAAGAGGGUGAGAGACCCUCUCGCCGUAAGUCCAAGGGUUCCUGCUUAAAGCUAAUCUGAGCAGGGUAAGCCGGCCCCUAAGGCGAGGCCGAAAGGCGUAGUCGAUGGGAACCAGGUUAAUAUUCCUGGGCCAGGAGGAAGUGACGGAUCUCGAAGGUAGUUUGCCCUUAUCGGAUAGGGUGGGCUGCUCAGAGGUUCCAGGAAAUAGCCCUCCAUCAGACCGUACCCUAAACCGACACAGGUGGACUGGUAGAGUAUACCAAGGCGCUUGAGAGAACCACGUUAAAGGAACUCGGCAAAAUGCCUCCGUAAGUUCGCGAGAAGGAGGCCCCAUAUCUGGGCAACCAGGUGUGGGGGGCACAAACUAGGGGGUGGCGACUGUUUACUUAAAACACAGGGCUGUGCGAAGCCGUAAGGCGACGUAUACAGUCUGACGCCUGCCCGGUGCUGGAAGAUUAAAAGGAGGGGUGCAAGCUCUGAAUUGAAGCCCCAGUAAACGGCGGCCGUAACUAUAACGGUCCUAAGGUAGCGAAAUUCCUUGUCGGGUAAGUUCCGACCUGCACGAAUGGCGUAACGAUCUCCCCGCUGUCUCUAACGUGGACUCAGCGAAAUUGAACUGUGUGUCAAGAUGCACACUACCCGCGGUUAGACGGAAAGACCCCAUGCACCUUUACUCCAGCUUUGCACUGGUAUCAGGAUUGUGAUGUGCAGGAUAGGUGGUAGGCAUCGAAGCGGGGACGCCAGUUCUCGUGGAGCCUCCCUUGAGAUACCACCCUUCGCCAUCUUGAUAUCUAACCGCGGCCCGUUAUCCGGGUCCGGGACCCUGCAUGGUGGGGAGUUUGACUGGGGCGGUCGCCUCCCAAACAGUAACGGAGGCGCGCGAAGGUAGGCUCAGACCGGUCGGAAAUCGGUCGUUGAGUGCAAUGGCAGAAGCCUGCCUGACUGCAAGUCUGACAAGACGAGCAGAGAUGAAAGUCGGUCAUAGUGAUCCGGUGGUCCCAAGUGGGAGGGCCAUCGCUCAACGGAUAAAAGGUACGCUGGGGAUAACAGGCUGAUGAUGCCCAAGAGUCCAUAUCGACGGCAUCGUUUGGCACCUCGAUGUCGGCUCAUCUCAUCCUGGGGCUGGAGCAGGUCCCAAGGGUAUGGCUGUUCGCCAUUUAAAGAGGUACGUGAGCUGGGUUCAGAACGUCGUGAGACAGUUCGGUCCCUAUCUGCCGUGGGUGUAGGAGACUUGAGAAGAGUUGCCCCUAGUACGAGAGGACCGGGGUGAACGAACCACUGGUGGACCAGUUGUCGUGCCAACGGCAGUGCUGGGUAGCUAUGUUCGGACAGGAUAACCGCUGAAGGCAUCUAAGCGGGAAGCCCCCUUCAAAACAAGGUCUCCCUUGAGAGCCGUGGAAGACCACCACGUCGAUAGGCCGGAGGUGUAAGUGCAGCAAUGCAUUCAGCUGACCGGUACUAAUUGCUU
This 1505-nucleotide ribosomal RNA is filed under the name metagenome. RNAcentral's name for it is "bacterial LSU rRNA". It matches the Rfam family "Bacterial large subunit ribosomal RNA", at positions 1277 to 2910 of the family's 2925-position model. The record is from RNAcentral.